Passer domesticus (house sparrow) is the source of this 4427-nucleotide long non-coding RNA. RefSeq lists it as uncharacterized. The transcript has 5 exons. NCBI's taxonomy places the organism in Eukaryota, Metazoa, Chordata, Aves, Passeriformes, Passeridae. The record is from RefSeq and is a predicted model, not a curated record.
GAUUGCAAGAACAAACUGUGAAUUCAAGAAAACGUUAACAAUCUUAAAGAGACCAAGCUAUUGCUUAUCAUAUUUUUUUUUUUUCUUGCUGCCAUUAUAACAAAACUAGAUACUUCUUGGUUUACUGGAUUUUAAGUGUUAUGGGAAAACGCUAGGGAAGAGGCCUACAGUGUAGCUGGAAAAUUUUGCUGUAGGGAGUCAACGCAAAGAUGUGCCUUUCACUGUGUCCUUGGCAGAACUGAGCACAGGAUUCUUAUAGAGAGAAGAGUCCAGACAGAGCCACACUUCAGAGGUUGGAAUGAGCCUGUGAAAAAACAUGAUUUUUAGGCACAGAUUAGGCACCAUUCUCAUGGUACCUAAAAUCAGGAACCCCACCCGAAUUAGGAGCUAUAUGUGUGUCAAUGGAGGAUUCCAACCCAUAGGAUGCAACCAUAAAUUCAUCAAGCAUAAUCAAUAAUUUGGAAAUUCCUGUGUGAAAAACAGGUUAUUGUGGAUGUUCUGUGUUACUGCAGACUUGAAAGACUGAUAAAGUCCUUUUUCGGUCAGGAAAGCUAGGUGGACCAUGGCGUUAAGAUUCACACCAAAAUAAUAAUAAUAAAAAAAAAAAAAUAAAUAAGGAGGAAGAAGAAGAAGAAGAAGAAGAAGAAGAAGAAGAAGAAGAAGAAGAAGAAGAAGAAGAAGAAGAAGAAGAAGAAGAAGGAGAAGGAACCAAACACCAAACAAAAACCAAAGCCAAUCAAACAAAAAACCCAAACCGCACCAAAGAAACAAAAGCACUUGUCUUCAUUUUUCCAAUUUUGCUCUCAUUUCGCUAUUUUGGAAGGUAUAAAAUUUGGAAGAGGAAAUACCAUUUAAGAGCAGGCAAAUGAAAUUACAAUUAAUCUCAGCACAAGGAGUGUUAUGACAUGUGAAUACAUUUGACUAGUGACUUCAGUACUGAGUUGAGACUUACAAAUGUACAGAAAGACCUUUGGCUUUAGUGUCAGUGAAACAGAAAUAUUCAGGAUUGCUUACUGAGGAGCAUGAAAAAUAGAAAUUACUUGAAGAAUAAAGCUGUAUGAUGAUUUUCUCUAGAUUAGAGAAGUCCUCUAGGCUGCUAUUUUGCAAAACCAAGCAUGAUGUCCUACAAAAAAGUUUCAAAGUGCCUCAUAAUUACCUCCAGAAUGAAGCAUACAGUGAGCAUACCUUAAUUAAUUUUCAUCUGAAACAAAAAGUCUGCAAGUUGUUGUUAUUGAAAUAGAGAUGGGGGUCAUUGUAGACCCACUCUAAAUUGAUAUGAAAUUAUCUGUGAUUUCAGUUUUGAGGAUCAUAAUAGGAAAAUAAUAAUAAUAAUAGGGUUUGUCACCACCCAGCUCUCCAGCUCAGCAGGAAUUGUUAUUUCAGUAGGGAAAUGCCCGAAUCUCAUUGAUUGGGAUACCAUUAAACUCUGUUGUACUGAAACUCCCCACCGUAUGCAAAUUUUACAAUUAAGUUGUCUUUUAUUAACAUUUCCUCCUUUAAACUUCCUAUACGAUUCAGUCUAAUGCACAAAAGAGAUGGGCCUUAAAUUAAGUCCAUAGGCUUAGCACUUCUGAGGCAGAGCAGAGGCAAUUUUAGAGUGGCUUAUCCUUCAUAUCUGUUCAAUUAACCUCUCGGAGCUUUAGAACAGAAGUCAGCAUGAUGGCUGUCAUUUGAAUUGAACAAAUGCCAUCUCUCCAUCAAAGUAUUGACUCACAUCAGCCAUUCCAAGCCAAGAUCAGGACUUUAAAUGAGAUGGACAAACUGAGCUAAUUGUUGGUGUUUCAGAAACCUUCCCUCGCAGGCUGCGCGAAGCUUGACGUUUGACAAGCUCUGCUCGCCCGUCUGAAGCUGUAACUCUUAAAAUGGUCAAUUCUGUGUGUAAAAUCAGUAUUUUGACAUUUGUUGGGGAUGGAUCUUGAUGUGGGGGCUCCUCUGGUUGCCCAGAGAAGCUGUUGUUGUUGCCCCUGCAUCCCGGGAAGUGUCCAGGGCCAGGUUGGAUGCGAAGCAAAUAAAUUUUAUGUCUGUGGUGCACCAUUUCACCUCAAAACAAAUGGGGGCUUUUCAGCAAAAAUUGGGCACAACUCUUUGCAUUUUUUUCAAUGCCAGAAUCUCAUGUUUCUUACCUACUCCUUGGGGAUAGGAGGUGAUUGAACACAAACUUUUAGGGUCAUAUUUUUGCAAAAAAUCUGUGAUAAUCAGCAGUGAAUUUGGACUCACUGGAAAUCCAUGGUAAGGCUCACACUUAGUCCAAGGGGACCAGAAUUUCAGGUUUCCUGUUUUAUCCUUUAAGUGAUACGUCAUUUUAUGUGGUGUCUCAAAAAAUUGUUUUUUCUAGCAUCUAAGAUUCAUGAAAAUUCUCAUGAUUCCCUAAUUCUCAGGAACUUUUUAAUAAGUUUUUUUUAAUAUUGAGAGUCUUUUAGUUUUAUGAAAUUGGGCAACCAAGCUCAGGUGAAUGGAAUUAUCUGUAACUUUGGUUUCUCAUUAUCGGUGACCUGUAAUAUUAAAGUUCUUAUUUAAAAAAAAAGCUUUAAUUAAAAAUCUAUAAUUUACUAACUCAAGCAGAGAAUCCACAAGGUUGCCAUCACAGUUACUGUUGAAAAUGGUGUUUUGUGUAUACACCAACAGCCACAAGAAGAAUGUUGUGAAGGAGGUUUAAAAAAAGAAAAAGCGAAUAUCUGGAUUAGUGUAGAACUUAAGCUGUUUUAAAUCACUUUUAUUUCCACAGGUCCUUCCAAAAGGUCAGAGUUGAAUCUCAUGUAAAAAUGAAGGAAAAAAUAUUAAUUUUACUUUAAAACUCCAGAAAACUUGGAGUGCAUAUCCAGACCUGUUCUAUACAUCUUUCUAAUGGAAACUCAGCAAUGAAACACCAAGAAGUCUCAAAACUAAGGAAAAAAAAAUCCCAACACACUUUGAUGCAUCAUAGAAGGAGAUACUAUCCCAAAUAUUUGGGUUGUAGUCCUGUGAAAAACAGCAGCUUUUCCUGGGAAUUACAGACAGAGCUGUAGGUACUGCUGCUAAAUUUUAGAAAGGUGUUGAUUGGUUGUGUCUUGGCUUUGAUUUUCUUAAAAUUUCAGAUAAUUUUGACAUUGCAGUUGGUUACAGGUUUCACUGUAAUAUAACAAGUAAGAAACAUUUGUGAACAGUUUUCCAUAUCCAGACUCACAGAUUUUUAAUGUAGGACUGUUUUUUUAGUCCCACUUGGAGAACUCUUCUGCAGCUUCAAUAGGAUGACAAAAUUGAUGCAAAACAUAUGUAAUAACACAAACAGAUUUUUUAUUAUUAGCUUAUAAUUGGUAUUUUGACUCAAAAGCACAUUUGCAAUGAUUAUGCUUUGUAAAGAACCUUGGAGCAUCCAGAUAUUUUGAAAACUUAACAAAAAUAUUUUGUUUAUAAACCUUUAUCUCUUGAAAAGAAAUAAAAAUGAAUUCUGUUUUUUAACAGGAAAAGUGCUGAGAUUAAUUAAGAGUUAAUGUUAUAAGUAAUUCAGAAACUGACCUCAAAAUCAAUUUUCUUCACUUUCUAUUUCAUUAUUAUAUAGGAGUUUAAUUUGCACUCCUUCCAUUGGGAUGAAAAGUGAUAAUCUCCUUAAUUCCAUCUGAUUUUGAAAAUAUCAAGAGUUUGUGUAUGUAUUUUGAAAAAAGAUUUCUUCUUGUACAAAUAUUGGAGCUCAAACUGAUAAGGUUUGGUUACAAAUUUUUUGCAAUUGAUGCAAUUUUUUGCUAUUGAUGCAAUGGAUAGAAAAUAAUGGAUAAAAUGCAACAAUAUGUGACAGCACAGCACACAAUGCAUUGAGAACAGGCCAGGACCAGAAAUUCACUUUUGUUUCAAACUGUCAUUAAUUAAUCUGCUGGGCAAAUGAGGGGUCAUUUAUAAGCAGAGAGAUUAAUAAAUUUUGUGCCUUGUCUUUACUGAAAAAGCACAAAAAUCCCUGAAGAGAUUUCUUGUUAACACACAGUGUUCCACCUGUGUAAACAGGAAAAUAGAGCCCAAGAGUCUGACAUUCAAUUACAAAAAAACAAAUAAGGAGGUCCACACCCAGGGAGUGAGAAAUAAAUAAAUAAAUAUUUGAACAGUGAGAUCUUCCUUCAAAGUGAAAUACAAACCCCAGCAUUGGGAAUGGUUUGUUCACAGGAAUUAUAAUCCCUAAUAUUGUUGAUUUCCAGCCUGCUUAGAAUUAAGGGACACGUGCCAGGAGCAAGGAUCACUGUCUGGGUUUUGUCACAAGUCCCAGUGCUGGGUAAAUGUGCCCAGCAUGCUGAGAGCAGUGCAAACAGAUUUGUGGCUGCAAACUCUCUUUCCGUGCCAACUCAGCUUCCUUCAUACAUUCCUAAUAAUCAAAAUCAAUAUUCAUAAAAUCGCUGGAGCAAGCAAAUCGGGCCAGAUUUUAGUUUUAUCCAAUUAUUAGUUAAUAUGCCUUAUUUUUCAUU